AACGUACGCUGGCGGCACGCCUAACACAUGCAAGUCGAACGAAGUAGCAAUACUUAGUGGCAGACGGGUGAGUAACAUGUAGGUAUCUACCCUUUGGCCUGGAAUAACACGAGGAAACUUGUGCUAAUACCGGAUAAGUCUUUACGGAGAAAGCUUUAUGCACCAUUGGAUGAGCCUGCACUUGAUUAGUUUGUUGGUGGGGUAAUGGCCUACCAAGACUGUGAUCAAUAGCUGAUUUGAGAGGAUGAUCAGCCACAUUGGGACUGAGACACGGCCCAAACUCCUACGGGAGGCAGCAGUGGGGAAUCUUGCACAAUGGAGGAAACUCUGAUGCAGCGAUGCCGCGUGAGUGAAGAAGGCCCUUGGGUUGUAAAGCUCUUUCGUCGGGGAAGAAAAUGACUGUACCCGAAUAAGAAGGUCCGGCUAACUUCGUGCCAGCAGCCGCGGUAAUACGAAGGGACCUAGCGUAGUUCGGAAUUACUGGGCUUAAAGAGUUCGUAGGUGGUUGAAAAAGUUGGUGGUGAAAUCCCAGAGCUUAACUCUGGAACUGCCAUCAAAACUUUUCAGCUAGAGUAUGAUAGAGGAAAGCAGAAUUUCUAGUGUAGAGGUGAAAUUCGUAGAUAUUAGAAAGAAUACCAAUUGCGAAGGCAGCUUUCUGGAUCAUUACUGACACUGAGGAACGAAAGCAUGGGUAGCGAAGAGGAUUAGAUACCCUCGUAGUCCAUGCCGUAAACGAUGUGUGUUAGACGUUGGAAAUUUAUUUUCAGUGUCGCAGCAAAAGCGAUAAACACACCGCCUGGGGAGUACGACCGCAAGGUUAAAACUCAAAUGAAUUGACGGGGACCCGCACAAGUAGUGGAGCAUGUGGUUUAAUUCGAAGAUACGCGCAGAACCUUACCAACACUUGACAUGUUCGUCGCGACUCUAAGAGAUUAGAGUUUUCGGUUCGGCCGGACGAAACACAGGUGCUGCAUGGCUGUCGUCAGCUCGUGUCGUGAGAUGUUGGGUUAAGUCCCGCAACGAGCGCAACCCUCACUUUUAGUUGCCAUCAUUAAGUUGGGCACUCUGAAAGAACUGCCAGUGAUAAGCUGGAGGAAGGUGGGGAUGACGUCAAGUCCUCAUGGCCCUUACGUGUUGGGCUACACACGUGCUACAAUGGUAUCUACAACAGGAAGCAAGACUGCGAAGUUAAGCAAAUCCCUAAAAGAUACCUCAGUUCGGAUUGCACUCUGCAACUCGAGUGCAUGAAGCUGGAAUUACUAGUAAUCGUGGAUCAGCGUGCCACGGUGAAUGCGUUCCCGGGUCU
This 1306-nucleotide ribosomal RNA is filed under the name uncultured bacterium. Its description in RNAcentral is "bacterial SSU rRNA". It matches the Rfam family "Bacterial small subunit ribosomal RNA", at positions 28 to 1381 of the family's 1533-position model. The record is from RNAcentral.